This is a long non-coding RNA of Cryptotermes secundus, 2021 nucleotides long. RefSeq lists it as uncharacterized. NCBI's taxonomy places the organism in Eukaryota, Metazoa, Arthropoda, Insecta, Blattodea, Kalotermitidae. The record is from RefSeq and is a predicted model, not a curated record. The transcript is spliced from 2 exons.
UAAGUAAGUGAAAAACUAGACCACGGAUUAAAAACCAAAUAUAGCACGUACAAUCUACGUACAGAUCUAAUAAUUCGUCGCCGAUAUGGAAUGCAGUGAUUCAUAAUAUGCAUUAUCUAUCUAUCUAUCUUACGCCAUAUGACGGUCAUCACCGUGGUACGAAAUGUAUUUGCGAUAUUGUUUCAUGAGUGCAAGGGUCGGUAGUAAUUGCCCAGGUUAAUUGUUUAUUAUCGUAGUACGUAAUAAGCGUAAUAAAAUUCCAAUGAAUUCGGAUUUUUCCCGCCUCUUCAGUUUAUCUAUUCAGUUUUAUAAAUGAAGUGUUUCGAGUUCUUAGCAUUAACAUGCAUGAGUGUGGAAUAUCUUGGGAUCUUUAAGCAUUUCGAUGUGGUAAUUAUGAAAUACUGUUAUCAAAACAAAAUGUUAAUGGAGAGUCCUAUCUUGUGUGAUGCAAAUCCGUGUAGCCCACUGAAAGUCAACCGACGUUUCGGAGGAACAUGUUGCACCUUCAGUGCCGAAGAAUAAGCUAAGCAGGAAACCAGCUCGAAAGUGUGUGGCAAGCAGCGCUUGGCUUGUUAUUCGUCCCGGAAGGUAGAGGCGACGGGUUCCGCCAGAACGUCAGUUGGUCUUCAACACACUACACGGCAUGCCUAUUAUUAUGCGGGCCAGUCCUCACCAUUCAAAUCAAAUGAGACCAGUCCAGCGAGUCCAGCAGCCAUCAUGCUGUCAGAUCACAUGUGUCCUGCCAGUGAAUUUCUUCAAACCAUGCUGAGAUUUAGAUGAAGAUAGAGAGGUGCUGUGCAGAAUUUCAUUCAAGUUGUUGGUUUGAAUGGACUAGGAGCUGACUGAAAUGAGCUAGGAGCCACUGAAAAAGGUCUUGGAGGUGAGGAAGUCAAUUCAAGUUGUAAUAUGUAACUUGUAAAUCUCAUCUUACUGUAACGUAUAUAAUGAGAUUGAACUAGUUAAGUCACUACUGUAAAUUAAUUAAUAAGUUGUAACAAGACUGAAAGUGAAACUAGGAAAUAGUAACAAGGUUAACCUGUAAAGAAAGUGAUGCCACAUAUAUAGGUAACUUUCUCAAACCUAACGUAGUACCGUAUUUUAGUUAUGUUGUAUUCACUUUCGGUGAAAUCUAAUAAGACAAGCUGUUUCUCUCAAAUUGGAAACAGGAAAUCAAUAACCUUACAACCUUUUAAGGCUAAAGAACUUGACAGUCAAAAUAUAACACGUGCAGCUUAUGUACUGUUACUCCACAUGUCUGUACUUUGGUUCUAAUCUGGGGCGUAUAAAAAAACUUUCACUAUUAUGAGCAUCUGCCUCGUGUCAUCCCGUUUGCGUCAGAAUCUGUCAUGUGCCGAGACUUUUGGCCGAGCCAACGCCCAGAUUGUUCCUAUAAGUAUAGAUGAUUAUGAUUGGACGGGAUCAGACACACUGAUCAUGUCGCAGAAUGAAUCUCUGUUCGUUGACGGUUAGGAGUUGUUAUCUGGGUCGUGGACCCUCAUCUUUAUUUUCUGUACCAACUGUGUGUAUAAGGAAUCCAGUAAACUUUGUCAUUUUUCAGCAUUCAAGGAGACUUAGAUCUUUUUGCUAAACCAGGUCAACGCAUCCUCUAUUUUCGGCAAUGUAAGCUUCAUCAGGUGGCAUCACUUCUGCUGGUCCGAACUCAUCGCCUGGUGGUAGCAGUACUAGAUAUACAUUACAAAGUGACAUGGAGCUUCAAUUCAAUUCAGUUUAUUUUUUGUUCAUCAAAUCUACAUUUGGCAAUGGCGCCACCAGAUAUAGAACACGUCCAAGCCCUAGUUACAAUAAAAUAAAUCCAGAGGACAACGUCAUUAAGAUAUUACAACAUCCACAACCAUUGUUGCAAUAACUGAUGAUACAAUGCUAUAACUAAACACAGCAUGCAUAUAAUACUCGAACUGCAACUUAUUAUCAUAACAAAAUACAUAUCAACAUUGUCAAUAACAGAGCAAAAUCAUAUCCAAAGAGUUAUGGGCAUCUUACAAUAAAAAUUUAAAAAAUGA